UGGGGAAUAUUGCACAAUGGGGGAAACCCUGAUGCAGCGACGCCGCGUGAGUGAAGAAGUAUUUCGGUAUGUAAAGCUCUAUCAGCAGGGAAGAAGAAUGACGGUACCUGACUAAGAAGCCCCGGCUAACUACGUGCCAGCAGCCGCGGUAAUACGUAGGGGGCAAGCGUUAUCCGGAUUUACUGGGUGUAAAGGGAGCGUAGACGGUAAUGUAAGUCUGAAGUGAAAGGCUGGGGCUCAACCCCGGGACUGCUUUGGAAACUAUAUAACUAGAGUACAGGAGAGGUAAGUGGAAUUCCUAGUGUAGCGGUGAAAUGCGUAGAUAUUAGGAGGAACACCAGUGGCGAAGGCGGCUUACUGGACUGUAACUGACGUUGAGGCUCGAAAGCGUGGGGAGCAAACAGG
RNAcentral lists this ribosomal RNA (405 nucleotides) under uncultured prokaryote. Its description in RNAcentral is "bacterial SSU rRNA". It matches the Rfam family "Bacterial small subunit ribosomal RNA", at positions 355 to 776 of the family's 1533-position model. RNAcentral also lists the same sequence under 1 other name. The record is from RNAcentral.